CAAUUCCUACGGGGGGCAGCAGUGGGGAAUAUUGCACAAUGGGGGAAACCCUGAUGCAGCAACGCCGCGUGAAGGAAGACGGUUUUCGGAUUGUAAACUUCUGUUCUUAGUGAAGAAGAAUGACGGUAGCUAAGGAGCAAGCCACGGCUAACUACGUGCCAGCAGCCGCGGUAAUACGUAGGUGGCAAGCGUUGUCCGGAAUUACUGGGUGUAAAGUGAGCGCAGGCGGUAAGCCAAGUCAGCUGUGAAAACUAC
Molecule: ribosomal RNA, 255 nt
Filed under: uncultured bacterium
Lineage: Bacteria
Description: partial 16S ribosomal RNA
Rfam family: Bacterial small subunit ribosomal RNA
Source: RNAcentral